UUUCUAGUGGCGGACGGGUGAGUAACGCGUGGGUAACCUGCCUUAUACAGGGGGAUAACAACCAGAAAUGGUUGCUAAUACCGCAUAAGCGCACAGGACCGCAUGGUCCGGUGUGAAAAACUCCGGUGGUAUAAGAUGGACCCGCGUUGGAUUAGCUAGUUGGCAGGGUAACGGCCUACCAAGGCGACGAUCCAUAGCCGGCCUGAGAGGGUGAACGGCCACAUUGGGACUGAGACACGGCCCAG
RNAcentral lists this ribosomal RNA (245 nucleotides) under uncultured bacterium. RNAcentral describes it as "partial 16S ribosomal RNA". It matches the Rfam family "Bacterial small subunit ribosomal RNA", at positions 89 to 334 of the family's 1533-position model. The record is from RNAcentral.